AGUGAACGCUGGCGGUACGCCUAACACAUGCAAGUCGAACGGCAGCACAGUAAGAGCUUGCUCUUACGGGUGGCGAGUGGCGGACGGGUGAGGAAUACAUCGGAAUCUACUUUUUCGUGGGGGAUAACGUAGGGAAACUUACGCUAAUACCGCAUACGACCUACGGGUGAAAGCAGGGGAUCUUCGGACCUUGCGCGAUUGAAUGAGCCGAUGUCGGAUUAGCUAGUUGGCGGGGUAAAGGCCCACCAAGGCGACGAUCCGUAGCUGGUCUGAGAGGAUGAUCAGCCACACUGGGACUGAGACACGGUCCAGACUCCUACGGGAGGCAGCAGUGGGGAAUAUUGGACAAUGGGCGCAAGCCUGAUCCAGCCAUACCGCGUGGGUGAAGAAGGCCUUCGGGUUGUAAAGCCCUUUUGUUGGGAAAGAAAAGCAGCAGGUUAAUACCCCGCUGUUCUGACGGUACCCAAAGAAUAAGCACCGGCUAACUUCGUG
This 492-nucleotide ribosomal RNA is filed under the name uncultured bacterium. RNAcentral describes it as "partial 16S ribosomal RNA". It matches the Rfam family "Bacterial small subunit ribosomal RNA", at positions 29 to 507 of the family's 1533-position model. The record is from RNAcentral.